Magnolia sinica is the source of this 1303-nucleotide long non-coding RNA. RefSeq lists it as uncharacterized. The record is from RefSeq and is a predicted model, not a curated record. The transcript has 4 exons. NCBI's taxonomy places the organism in Eukaryota, Viridiplantae, Streptophyta, Magnoliopsida, Magnoliales, Magnoliaceae.
AUGUUAAUGUUGAAGUUCAACAAGCCCUUCUUCAGGUUAAAUGGUUUACAUUUCUUAAAGAUAAACUCCAUCAAUUUUUAUUUAUUUUUUCCCUUUUGAAUGUCACUUUCUCCCUGGUGAUAUUUAUUCAUAUUAUGUUGAUGUAUGGAACUUGAAGAUGGAUGGGAAAACCGAUGAUGAAAUCUGAUUGGAAGAAAGAUGGGAAAAUGGCUGGUGAUUGGAAUCACACUUCUGGUAAAUGGAAUAGAGGCCCCAGUGACAAAGAAGUCAUAGAUUUCUUCUAGGGAUCUUGAAGUGCAUUAUCGGUUGCCUGGUGAUGAUUUCAACUGUCAAUUCAAUGCGGGAAUCCAAACCACUGAAGAUUAUAGGUUCUAUGCCAUUUCGGCAGAGUUCCUUGAGUUCAGUAACAAGGACAAGACUCUGGUUUUUCAAUUCUAGGUAAAACAUGAGUAGAAGCUUGACUGUGGUGGUUGCUACAUGAAGUUGCUUAGCGGUGCAGUUGAUCAAAAGAAUUUUGGUGGUGAGACCCCUUACAGGGGUACGAUGACAUUCCCAAAGAGAUACACAAUGCUGAUGCCAAAAAAGCCAGAAGACUGGGAUGAUGAAGAAGAUGGUGAAUGGACAGCUCCAACCAUUCCAAAUCCUGAAUAUAAGGGUCCGUGGAACCCAAAGGUUUGUGAACUAGUAAUGCCAAUCCAGAUAAAAAUUGAGUUUUAGAUACCACGAUUUUGAAUUUUCUAUUUCAUCCAUUAACAACAAAUUAAAAUCCCCAACUACAAGAGAAAAUGGAAGGCUCUGAUGAUUGACAAUCCAGGUUCAUGCAGAUUUUACAUUUUUUUAUUAAAUUGUCCCAGGUUCUUACUCCCAAUUUUCUUAUUUUAUAUAUUUUUCUAACCUAGUAUGAUAUCCACAGAUUUCAAGGAUGAUCCUGAUAUUUAUGUUUACCCCAAUUUGAAAUACGUGGGUGGACCUGCUUCUGAGUCUAUGUAGGAUUUCAAUAGUUAUACUUGAGCCCCUUUGUUAUGUCUCACAGCCACUCAGAACCUCGUUCAAAGUUUUACAUAUCAAAUGGUCUUAAGCCCUCUCUUGUCUUUUUUAGAUGGUAGGAUUACAUAUCAUUUGAGGCCGGAUUUAAAUGUCUACAACAAAUGGACUUGAGUCCAUGACUUGUGCUAUAAUAUGGGGUGUUUACAUAUUGGAUCAAGUCAUGUGCAGGUUGUUUACAAUCUAGAUUGUCCAGCUCAACAGCAAACUUCCUAAAGGUCAUUCCAUCUGUUUUCUUUUCAUUUUCUUUUUUAAAACC